GACGAACGCUGGCGGCGUGCCUAAUACAUGCAAGUAGAACGCUGAAGCGAGGAGCUUGCUCUUCUUGGAUGAGUUGCGAACGGGUGAGUAACGCGUAGGUAACCUGCCUUGUAGCGGGGGAUAACUAUUGGAAACGAUAGCUAAUACCGCAUAACAAUGGAUGACACAUGUCAUUUAUUUGAAAGGGGCAAUUGCUCCACUACAAGAUGGACCUGCGUUGUAUUAGCUAGUAGGUGAGGUAAUGGCUCACCUAGGCGACGAUACAUAGCCGACCUGAGAGGGUGAUCGGCCACACUGGGACUGAGACACGGCCCAGACUCCUACGGGAGGCAGCAGUAGGGAAUCUUCGGCAAUGGGGGCAACCCUGACCGAGCAACGCCGCGUGAGUGAAGAAGGUUUUCGGAUCGUAAAGCUCUGUUGUAAGUCAAGAACGGGUGUGAGAGUGGAAAGUUCACACUGUGACGGUAGCUCACCAGAAAGGGACGGCUAACUACGUG
Molecule: ribosomal RNA, 497 nt
Filed under: uncultured bacterium
Lineage: Bacteria
Description: partial 16S ribosomal RNA
Rfam family: Bacterial small subunit ribosomal RNA
Source: RNAcentral